CAAACCGACACAGGUAGGCGAGGAGAGAAUCCUAAGGUGAUCGAGAGAACUCUCGUUAAAGAACUCGGCAAAAUGACCCCGUAACUUCGGGAGAAGGGGUGCUCUGUUAGGGUGCAAGCCCGAGAGAGCCGCAGUGAAUAGGCCCAGGCGACUGUUUAGCAAAAACACAGGUCUCUGCGAAGCCGUAAGGCGAAGUAUAGGGGCUGACGCCUGCCCGGUGCUGGAAGGUUAAGAGGAGCGCUUAGCGUAAGCGAAGGUGCGAAUUGAAGCCCCAGUAAACGGCGGCCGUAACAAUAACGGUCCUAAGGUAGCGAAAUUCCUUGUCGGGUAAGUUCCGACCCGCACGAAAGGCGCAACGAUCUGGGCACUGUCUCAACGAGAGACUCGGUGAAAUUAUAGUACCUGUGAAGAUGCAGGUUACCCGCGACAGGACGGAAAGACCCCGUGGAGCUUUACUGCAGCCUGAUAUUGAAUGUUGGUACAGCUUGUACAGGAUAGGUAGGAGCCUUGGAAACCGGAGCGCCAGCUUCGGUGGAGGCAUCGGUGGGAUACUACCCUGGCUGUAUUGACCUUCUAACCCGCCGCCCUUAUCGGGCGGGGAGACAGUGUCAGGUGGGCAGUUUGACUGGGGCGGUCGCCUCCUAAAAGGUAACGGAGGCGCCCAAAGGUUCCCUCAGAAUGGUUGGAAAUCAUUCGCAGAGUGUAAAGGCACAAGGGAGCUUGACUGCGAGACCUACAAGUCGAGCAGGGACGAAAGUCGGGCUUAGUGAUCCGGUGGUUCCGCAUGGAAGGGCCAUCGCUCAACGGAUAAAAGCUACCCCGGGGAUAACAGGCUUAUCUCCCCCAAGAGUCCACAUCGACGGGGAGGUUUGGCACCUCGAUGUCGGCUCAUCGCAUCCUGGGGCUGUAGUCGGUCCCAAGGGUUGGGCUGUUCGCCCAUUAAAGCGGUACGCGAGCUGAGUUCAGAACGUCGUGAGACAGUUCGGUCCCUAUCCGUCGCGGGCGCAGGAAAUUUGAGAGGAGCUGUCCUUAGUACGAGAGGACCGGGAUGGACGCACCGCUGGUGUACCAGUUGUUCUGCCAAGGGCAUCGCUGGGUAGCUAUGUGCGGACGGGAUAAGUGCUGAAAGCAUCUAAGCAUGAAGCCCCCCUCAAGAUGAGAUUUCCCAUUCCGCAAGGAAGUAAGAUCCCUGAAAGAUGAUCAGGUUGAUAGGUCUGAGGUGGAAGUGUGGCGACACAUGGAGCUGACAGAUACUAAUCGAUCGAGGACUUAACC
RNAcentral lists this ribosomal RNA (1275 nucleotides) under metagenome. Its description in RNAcentral is "bacterial LSU rRNA". It matches the Rfam family "Bacterial large subunit ribosomal RNA", at positions 1649 to 2925 of the family's 2925-position model. The record is from RNAcentral.